Molecule: ribosomal RNA, 446 nt
Filed under: uncultured bacterium
Lineage: Bacteria
Description: partial 16S ribosomal RNA
Rfam family: Bacterial small subunit ribosomal RNA
Source: RNAcentral
CCUACGGGAGGCAGCAGUCGAGAAUCAUUCACAAUGGGGGAAACCCUGAUGGUGCGACGCCGCGUGGGGGAAUGAAGGUCUUCGGAUUGUAAACCCCUGUCAUGUGGGAGCAAAUUAAAAAGAUAGUACCACAAGAGGAAGAGAUGGCUAACUCUGUGCCAGCAGCCGCGGUAAUACAGAGGUCUCAAGCGUUGUUCGGAAUCACUGGGCGUAAAGCGUGCGUAGGCUGUUUCGUAAGUCGUGUGUGAAAGGCGCGGGCUCAACCCGCGGACGGCACAUGAUACUGCGAGACUAGAGUAAGGGAGGGGGAACCGGAAUUCGCGGUGUAGCAGUGAAAUGCGUAGAUAUCGAGAGGAACACUCGUGGCGAAGGCGGGUUCCUGGACAUUAACUGACGCUGAGGCACGAAGGCCAGGGGAGCGAAAGGGAUUAGAUACCCCUGUAGUC